UACGUAGGGUGCGAGCGUUAAUCGGAAUUACUGGGCGUAAAGCGUGCGCAGGCGGUUAUGUAAGACAGAGGUGAAAUCCCCGGGCUCAAACUGGGAACUGCCUUUUUGACUGCAUGACUAUAGUACGGCAGAGGGGGAUGGAAUUCCGCGUGUAGCAGUGAAAUGCGUAGAUAUGCGGAGGAACACCGAUGGCGAAGGCAAUCCCCUGGGCCUGUACUGACGCUCAUGCACGAAAGCGUGGGGAGCAAACAGG
This 253-nucleotide ribosomal RNA is filed under the name uncultured bacterium. RNAcentral's name for it is "partial 16S ribosomal RNA". It matches the Rfam family "Bacterial small subunit ribosomal RNA", at positions 524 to 776 of the family's 1533-position model. The record is from RNAcentral.